Molecule: ribosomal RNA, 43 nt
Filed under: Girardinia diversifolia
Lineage: Eukaryota; Viridiplantae; Streptophyta; Magnoliopsida; Rosales; Urticaceae
Description: partial 28S ribosomal RNA
Source: RNAcentral
CGACCCCAGGUCAGGCGGAACCCGGAUUACCCGCUGAAUUUAA